Molecule: ribosomal RNA, 643 nt
Filed under: Amphidoma languida
Lineage: Eukaryota; Dinophyceae; Gonyaulacales; Amphidomataceae
Description: partial large subunit ribosomal RNA
Rfam family: Eukaryotic large subunit ribosomal RNA
Source: RNAcentral
AAGCAUAUAAGUAAGCGGAGGAAAAGAAACUAAAUAGGAUUCCCUUAGUAAUGGCGAAUGAACAGGGAUCAGCUCAGUAUGGAAAUCGGGGCUUCCCAGCCUUGAAUUGUAGUCUCAAGAGGUAUCGCCAACGGAGGCGCAGAUGUAAGCCUCUUGGAAAAGAGCAUCAAUGAGGGUGAGAAUCCCGUUUGUCAUCUGCAGUCCCCCGUGCACGGUGUAUCUUCUAAGAGUCGCGUUCCUCGGGAUUGGAGCGUAAAGUGGGUGGUAAAUUUCAUCUAAGGCUAAAUAUGGGUUCGAGACCGAUAGCAAACAAGUACCAUGAGGGAAAGAUGAAAAGGACUUUGAAAAGAGAGUUAAAAGUGCCUGAAAUUGCUGAAAGGGAAGCGAAUGGAACCAGUGCUCUUGGCGAGAUUGUUGUGCGCUAUGGUGAUUGCUGGCUGCUUCAGCGCAAGCGGGGUAGUUGGUACUGAGCCUGCCGCGCGCAGUGUUUCUUACCUUGUGCGUCACCGUCGGUUCACAGGCGAGGAUACUUCUGAGGACAUGGUAACUCUUCCACGGAGGUGUGAAUGUCUUUGGUAAUACUCGUUUGUAGACCGCUCACCUUCGGGUUACGAUGACUAAAUGGUUCUAUUCGACCCGUCUU